Molecule: ribosomal RNA, 253 nt
Filed under: uncultured bacterium
Lineage: Bacteria
Description: partial 16S ribosomal RNA
Rfam family: Bacterial small subunit ribosomal RNA
Source: RNAcentral
UACGAAGGGGGCAAGCGUUGCUCGGAAUCACUGGGCGUAAAGGGCGCGUAGGCGGCCAUUCAAGUCGGGGGUGAAAGCCUGUGGCUCAACCACAGAAUUGCCUUCGAUACUGUUUGGCUUGAGACCGGAAGAGGUAAGUGGAACUGCGAGUGUAGAGGUGAAAUUCGUAGAUAUUCGCAAGAACACCAGUGGCGAAGGCGGCUCACUGGCCCGGUACUGACGCUGAGGCGCGAAAGCGUGGGGAGCAAACAGG